CCUUGGCCUCUAACUAGGGUAGCCAACGAGAGUUGGAGGCGCUUCUUAGAGGGACCAGCUGGGAUUUACCAGCGGGAAGUUCGAGGCGAUAACAGGUCUGUGAUGCCCUUAGAUGUUCUGGGCCGCACGCGCGCUACACUGGCAGAGGCAGCGAGUUGAAUCUGCGCCGAAGGGCGUGGGUAAUCUUGUGAAACUCUGCCGUGAUGGGGAUAGAUCAUUGUAAUUAUUGGUCUUGAACGAGGAAUUCCUAGUAAGCGCAAGUCAUCAAGUUGCGUUGAUUAUGUCCCUGCCCUUUGUACACACCGCCCGUCGCUACUACCGAUUGAAUGGGUAGAUGAGGGCGUUGGACUCUGCGAUGAGCGGGGGAAGACGGACGAAUCUGUCUAUUUAGAGGAAGUAAAAGUCG
This 406-nucleotide ribosomal RNA is filed under the name Microsporidia sp. RNAcentral describes it as "SSU rRNA". It matches the Rfam family "Eukaryotic small subunit ribosomal RNA", at positions 1341 to 1791 of the family's 1831-position model. The record is from RNAcentral. Lineage: Eukaryota; Fungi; Microsporidia.